Molecule: unclassified non-coding RNA, 338 nt
Filed under: uncultured fungus
Lineage: Eukaryota; Fungi
Description: partial contains small subunit ribosomal RNA, internal transcribed spacer 1, and 5.8S ribosomal RNA
Rfam family: Eukaryotic small subunit ribosomal RNA (bases 1-73)
Source: RNAcentral
GCAAACUUGGUCAUUUAGAGGAAGUAAAAGUCGUAACAAGGUUUCCGUAGGUGAACCUGCGGAAGGAUCAUUAACUGCGAGCAUGCAUCUGCAUGCGUCAACCUGUGCAUUGUUUUCUUUUUUUCCUGGCGGUGCGACUUGCGCAGCUGCUACGACAAAAAGCUGAAGCCAGAAUGAUAGCCCGGUAGGGUUAGGGUUUGGUCUUUGCUUUGUUCGUAGUAGGUGCGACUUGUCGCACCACCAGGAAAAAAGAAAGAAGAGAAAACGAGUCUUAAGAGUUGUAGUAUACAACUUGCAGCAAUGGAUCUCUAGGCUCCUGCAUCGAUGAAGAACGCAGC